GCGGAUAUGGCGAAAAUUGGAAGACGCGCAUGCUUGAGGGGUAUGUAAGAAUUAUUUCUUAUAUGAGUUCAAAUCUCAUUAUCCGCACCA
RNAcentral lists this transfer RNA (90 nucleotides) under Candidatus Phytoplasma mali. RNAcentral describes it as "tRNA-Leu (GAG) (tRNA-Leu-GAG-1-1)". It matches the Rfam family "tRNA". Rfam says of the family: Transfer RNA (tRNA) molecules are approximately 80 nucleotides in length. Their secondary structure includes four short double-helical elements and three loops (D, anti-codon, and T loops). Further hydrogen bonds mediate the characteristic L-shaped molecular structure. tRNAs have two regions of fundamental functional importance: the anti-codon, which is responsible for specific mRNA codon recognition, and the 3' end, to which the tRNAs corresponding amino acid is attached (by aminoacyl-tRNA synthetases). tRNAs cope with the degeneracy of the genetic code in two manners: having more than one tRNA (with a specific anti-codon) for a particular amino acid; and 'wobble' base-pairing, i.e. permitting non-standard base-pairing at the 3rd anti-codon position. The record is from RNAcentral. Lineage: Bacteria; Bacillati; Mycoplasmatota; Mollicutes; Acholeplasmatales; Acholeplasmataceae.